Molecule: long non-coding RNA, 762 nt
Organism: Carassius carassius (crucian carp)
Lineage: Eukaryota; Metazoa; Chordata; Actinopteri; Cypriniformes; Cyprinidae
Exons: 2
Source: RefSeq, a predicted model, not a curated record
AUUUUAGUGACUGUGCCCAGCAUUCAAGAGGCACUUGCUUUACUUCAGGACGCUGUUUUCCUAGAGACAUUAGCACUCAGCCGAUGGAUAGAGGAAGUCCCACUUGAUUACUCUUUAUCUAAAAAAUGACACGGAUCCUGAUUCUCUCAAGCAAAUCCAUCUUUAUAGAGUACUUUAACCCUCAGAAGAGACUCUUAUGAUACAUUAGAACCAAUAAAUCCAAUUAGCCUCGUUGCAUUUAACAGGACAAAUGAUGCAAAUAGAUUUAAUUAAACACAAAGUAUCCUCUUUCAAUGAACUUUCACUUGUCAGUUUUUAAAUCUGAGUUUGAUUGUAAACGCAUUCAUACUUAAAAUUGUCAGUUUAUGUAACUAUACAUAAUUUUCAUAUAAUCUCUUUGUCAUGUUAUGUUUGCAUUGCUGUAUUAAGCAGUCCUUGUUUAGAGAUAAUACAUUUGUUUUCCAGUAAGUGCCCUCUUUCUUGGUUUCAUAAUUUGUUCAAAUGCAUUUCUGUCUCAGCUCUCCCUGUUGAAACAGGAAGUAGAGGAAGGAUUGCUGCAUGUUUUUAUUUAUUUAUUUAUUUGUUUAUUUUUUUACAGGCAGAGGUAGUGACUGAAGACUAUUUACGUAAUCCUUGAUAUUAUAUUGCUUUGUGUUUUAUUGCCAAACUCAGCUAAGUCACCAACUGAUGACUUAAGUUGAGAAGUUUAAUUUGUUUGUUAACCCAUAAUAGCUAUUAAAAUAUAAAAAUAGUUUAUGAUAA